This 333-nucleotide ribosomal RNA is filed under the name uncultured Atopobium sp. Its description in RNAcentral is "bacterial SSU rRNA". It matches the Rfam family "Bacterial small subunit ribosomal RNA", at positions 180 to 524 of the family's 1533-position model. Lineage: Bacteria; Bacillati; Actinomycetota; Coriobacteriia; Coriobacteriales; Atopobiaceae. The record is from RNAcentral.
UAUAUAUCGCAUGAUGUAUAUGGAAAAGCUCCGACGGCAAAGGAUGGGCCCGCGGCCUGUUAGCUAGUUGGUGGGGUAACGGCCUACCCAAGGCAAUGAUGGGUAGCCGGGUUGAGAGACCGACCGGCCAGAUUGGGACUGAGACACGGCCCAGACUCCUACGGGAGGCAGCAGUGGGGAAUCUUGCACAAUGGGCGAAAGCCUGAUGCAGCGACGCCGCGUGCGGGAUGAAGGCCUUCGGGUCGUAAACCGCUUUCAGCAGGGACGAGGCCGCAAGGUGACGGUACCUGCAGAAGAAGCCCCGGCUAACUACGUGCCAGCAGCCGCGGUAAU